CAUAUCAAUAAGCGGAGGAAAAGAAACUAACAAGGAUUCCCCUAGUAACUGCGAGUGAAGCGGGAAAAGCUCAAAUUUAAAAUCUGGCGGUCUUUGGCUGUCCGAGUUGUAAUCUAGAGAAGUGUUAUCCGCGUUGGACCGUGUACAAGUCUCCUGGAAUGGAGCGUCAUAGAGGGUGAGAAUCCCGUCUUUGACACGGACUGCCAGGGCUUUGUGAUGCGCUCUCAAAGAGUCGAGUUGUUUGGGAAUGCAGCUCAAAAUGGGUGGUAAAUUCCAUCUAAAGCUAAAUAUUGGCGAGAGACCGAUAGCGAACAAGUACCGUGAGGGAAAGAUGAAAAGAACUUUGGAAAGAGAGUUAAACAGUACGUGAAAUUGCUGAAAGGGAAACGCUUGAAGUCAGUCGCGUUGACCAGGGAUCAACCUUGCUUUUGCUUGGUGCACUUUCUGGUUAACGGGUCAGCAUCAAUUUUGACCAUUGGAAAAAGGUCAGGGGAAUGUGGCAUCUUCAGAUGUGUUUAUAGCCCUUGGUUGCAUACAAUGGUUGGGAUUGAGGAACUCAGCACGCCGAAAGGCCGGGUUUUUAAACCACGUACGUGCUUAGGAUGCUGGCAUAAUGGCUUUAAUCGACCCGUCUUGAAACACGGACCAAGGAGUCUAACAUGCCUGCGAGUGUUUGGGUGGAAAACCCGAGCGCGCAAUGAAAGUGAAAGUUGAGAUCCCUGUCGUGGGGAGCAUCGACGCCCGGACCAGACCUUUUGUGACGGUUCCGCGGUAGAGCAUGUAUGUUGGGACCCGAAAGAUGGUGAACUAUGCCUGAAUAGGGUGAAGCCAGAGGAAACUCUGGUGGAGGCUCGUAGCGAUUCUGACGUGCAAAUCGAUCGUCAAAUUUGGGUAUAGGGGCGAAAGACUAAUCGAACCAUCUAGUAGCUGGUUCCUGCC
RNAcentral lists this ribosomal RNA (939 nucleotides) under Aureonarius caryotis. Its description in RNAcentral is "Cortinarius caryotis partial large subunit ribosomal RNA". It matches the Rfam family "Eukaryotic large subunit ribosomal RNA", at positions 39 to 962 of the family's 3401-position model. The record is from RNAcentral. Lineage: Eukaryota; Fungi; Basidiomycota; Agaricomycetes; Agaricales; Cortinariaceae.